This 450-nucleotide ribosomal RNA is filed under the name uncultured bacterium. RNAcentral describes it as "bacterial SSU rRNA". It matches the Rfam family "Bacterial small subunit ribosomal RNA", at positions 328 to 794 of the family's 1533-position model. The record is from RNAcentral.
UGGCCAGACUCCUACGGGAGGCAGCAGUGGGGAAUAUUGCACAAUGGGGGGAACCCUGAUGCAGCGACGCCGCGUGAGUGAAGAAGUAUUUCGGUAUGUAAAGCUCUGUCAGCAGGGAAGAAGAAAGACGGUACCUGACCAAGAAGCCCCGGCUAACUACGUGCCAGCAGCCGCGGUAAUACGUAGGGGGCAAGCGUUAUCCGGAUUUACUGGGUGUAAAGGGAGCGUAGACGGCAGGGCAAGUCUGGAGUGAAAGGCAGGGGCCCAACCCCUGGACUGCUCUGGAAACUGUCCGGCUGGAGUGCAGGAGAGGUAAGUGGAAUUCCAGGUGUAGGAGUGAAAUCCGUAGAUAUCUGGAGGAACAUCAGUGGCGAAGGCGACUAUCUGGCACAUAACUGACGCUGAGGAGCGAAAGCGUGGGUAGCAAACAGGAUUAGAUACCCGGGUACC